RNAcentral lists this ribosomal RNA (622 nucleotides) under Rotylenchulus reniformis. Its description in RNAcentral is "bacterial SSU rRNA". The stretch from base 90 to 622 matches the Rfam family "Eukaryotic small subunit ribosomal RNA", at positions 1117 to 1664 of the family's 1831-position model. The record is from RNAcentral. Lineage: Eukaryota; Metazoa; Nematoda; Chromadorea; Rhabditida; Hoplolaimidae.
GGAUCAAUUCCGCCUAGUUCUGCCGUAACGAGCCAAUUAGGAUCGCCAGUGCACUAUCGUCUGUGAGAGCUUCCGGAAACGAAUUUUCCGAGUAAGUAUAGUUGCAAGCUGACUCUAAGGGAAUUGACGGAAGGGGCCCCACCCAGGAGUGGAGCCUGCGGCCUUAUUUUGACUCAACACCGGAGAAAACCCCACCCCGGCUCCGACACCGUAAAGAAUGAACAGAUUGAUUAGCUUUUUCCAUGAUUCGGUGGAUGGUGGUGCAUGGCCGUUCUUAGUUCGGGGAAGCGAUUUGUCUGGUUUAUUCCGAUAACGAGCGAGACUCUGACCUACUAAAUAGUUGACGCAUUGCCCAUUGUGCGCACAACUUCUUAGAGGGAUUUUCGGUGUUUUCAACCGCACGAAAUUGAGCAAUAACAGGUCUGUGAUGCCCUUAGAUGUCCGGGGCUGCACGCGCGCUACACUGGCAAACGCAACGUGCCUGUCCUGCCCAGAAAGGAGCGGGUAAACCCCUGAAAUUUUGCCGUGAUUGGGAUCGGACAUUGCAACUAUUGUCCGUGAACGAGGAAUUCCUUGUAGGGGCGAGUCAUCAACUCGUCCCGAAUACGUCCCUGCCCUUGUA